Molecule: small RNA, 67 nt
Filed under: Flavobacterium glaciei
Lineage: Bacteria; Pseudomonadati; Bacteroidota; Flavobacteriia; Flavobacteriales; Flavobacteriaceae
Description: Flavo-1 RNA
Rfam family: Flavo-1 RNA
Source: RNAcentral
CAAUAGCCCUGAUGGAAGUGACAUCCCACGCUUUUUGGCGUGGAUACAACGUACAGCAGGAGCAGAG